Molecule: ribosomal RNA, 466 nt
Filed under: Streptococcus intermedius
Lineage: Bacteria; Bacillati; Bacillota; Bacilli; Lactobacillales; Streptococcaceae
Description: bacterial SSU rRNA
Rfam family: Bacterial small subunit ribosomal RNA
Source: RNAcentral
GACGAACGCUGGCGGCGUGCCUAAUACAUGCAAGUAGAACGCACAGGAUACACCGUAGUUUACUACACCGUAUUCUGUGAGUUGCGAACGGGUGAGUAACGCGUAGGUAACCUGCCUGGUAGCGGGGGAUAACUAUUGGAAACGAUAGCUAAUACCGCAUAAGAACAUUUACUGCAUGGUAGAUGUUUAAAAGGUGCAAAUGCAUCACUACCAGAUGGACCUGCGUCGUAUUAGCUAGUAGGUGAGGUAACGGCUCACCUAGGCGACGAUACAUAGCCGACCUGAGAGGGUGAUCGGCCACACUGGGACUGAGACACGGCCCAGACUCCUACGGGAGGCAGCAGUAGGGAAUCUUCGGCAAUGGGGGGAACCCUGACCGAGCAACGCCGCGUGAGUGAAGAAGGUUUUCGGAUCGUAAAGCUCUGUUGUUAAGGAAGAACGAGUGUGAGAAUGGAAAUGUUCAUAC